UACUGCCUGGUAGUGGGGGACGAACGUUUCGAAAGGAACGCUAAUACCGCAUACGUCCUACGGGAGAAAGCAGGGACCUUCGGGCCUUGCGCUAUCAGAUGAGCCUAGGUCGGAUUAGCUAGUUGGUGAGGUAAUGGCUCACCAAGGCGACGAUCCGUAACUGGUCUGAGAGGAUGAUCAGUCACACUGGAACUGAGACACGGUCCAGACUCCUACGGGAGGCAGCAGCC
This 230-nucleotide ribosomal RNA is filed under the name uncultured Pseudomonas sp. Its description in RNAcentral is "partial 16S ribosomal RNA". It matches the Rfam family "Bacterial small subunit ribosomal RNA", at positions 124 to 355 of the family's 1533-position model. Lineage: Bacteria; Pseudomonadati; Pseudomonadota; Gammaproteobacteria; Pseudomonadales; Pseudomonadaceae. The record is from RNAcentral.